RNAcentral lists this ribosomal RNA (34 nucleotides) under Colletotrichum falcatum. RNAcentral's name for it is "partial 18S ribosomal RNA". The record is from RNAcentral. Lineage: Eukaryota; Fungi; Ascomycota; Sordariomycetes; Glomerellales; Glomerellaceae.
GAUUUCCGUUGGAUGAACCAGCGGGAGGAUAUUA